CGCCUUGCCAGCCCGCUCAGAAACUUAAAGGAAUUGACGGGGGCCCGCACAAGCGGUGGAGCAUGUGGUUUAAUUCGAUGAUACGCGAGGAACCUUACCUGGGCUCAAAUGUAUGUUGACGUAUUCUGAAAGGGAUACUUCUUCGGACAAUAUACAAGGUGCUGCAUGGUUGUCGUCAGCUCGUGCCGUGAGGUGUCGGGUUAAGUCCCAUAACGAGCGCAACCCCUACCUUUAGUUGCCAUCAGGUUAAGCUGGGGACUCUAAAGGAACUGCCUACGCAAGUAGUGAGGAAGGCGGGGAUGACGUCAAAUCAGCACGGCCCUUACGUCCAGGGCUACACACGUGCUACAAUGGCCGAUACAGAGGGCAGCUACCUGGUGACAGGAUGCAAAUCUCCAAAGUCGGUCUCAGUUCGGAUCGGAGUCUGCAACCCGACUCCGUGAAGUUGGAAUCGCUAGUAAUCGCGCAUCAGCAUGGCGCGGUGAAUACGUUCCCGGGCCUU
Molecule: ribosomal RNA, 502 nt
Filed under: uncultured Sphingobacteriales bacterium
Lineage: Bacteria; Pseudomonadati; Bacteroidota; Sphingobacteriia; Sphingobacteriales
Description: bacterial SSU rRNA
Rfam family: Bacterial small subunit ribosomal RNA
Source: RNAcentral